Molecule: ribosomal RNA, 437 nt
Filed under: uncultured Clostridium sp.
Lineage: Bacteria; Bacillati; Bacillota; Clostridia; Eubacteriales; Clostridiaceae
Description: partial 16S ribosomal RNA
Rfam family: Bacterial small subunit ribosomal RNA
Source: RNAcentral
ACGGGAGGCAGCAGUGGGGGAUAUUGCACAAUGGGCGAAAGCCUGAUGCAGCAACGCCGCGUGAGGGAAGAAGGUCUUCGGAUUGUAAACCUUUGUCCUUAGUGACGAAGAAAGUGACGGUAGCUAAGGAGGAAGCCACGGCUAACUACGUGCCAGCAGCCGCGGUAAUACGUAGGUGGCAAGCGUUGUCCGGAAUUACUGGGUGUAAAGGGAGCGCAGGCGGGAAGGCAAGUCAGACGUGAAAUCUAUGGGCUUAACCCAUAGCGUGCGUUUGAAACUGUUUUUCUUGAGUGAAGUAGAGGCAGGCGGAAUUCCGAGUGUAGCGGUGAAAUGCGUAGAUAUUCGGAGGAACACCAGUGGCGAAGGCGGCCUGCUGGGCUUUUACUGACGCUGAGGCUCGAAAGUGUGGGGAGCAAACAGGAUUAGAUACCCUGGUA